CAGGAAGAGGAACCAGCCUGAGGGGAGAUGAUGCACUCGGGUGAACAGAUCCACAGCCAAGAUGGUAAACACGCGUAGAGGAAAAUUCCCACAGAUGCAUGCUGGUCAGACUGUGGGAUGCACACUCGCUCUCCGUGAUGCACUCUUUAGGGGAGGUGGGGACCGGCUGCAGACGCUGUGCACAGAGCCACCGCUUGUCCAGAGUCUCUGGGAGGAUAGGUCCAGCACCCCCUGGCUUUGUGAACCUUUUAGAAGGAGAUUUAUUUGAUCUCACCAUGUACCCUUGGCUGGCCUGGAACCUGCUCUGUACACCAACUAGGCCUCCAGCUCAGAGAUCCACUUAUCUUAAAGGCAUGCACACCAUGCCUGGCCUCUGGAUUUUUGUCUUCUGAGAGAAAUGGUCAAUCUUACACAAUGUCAUUGUUACUUUGUGUUGGGUACAAGUAAAUAUAAAGUUGAGUUAGAAAAUCA
This is a long non-coding RNA of Mesocricetus auratus (golden hamster), 471 nucleotides long. RefSeq lists it as uncharacterized. The transcript has 3 exons. Lineage: Eukaryota; Metazoa; Chordata; Mammalia; Rodentia; Cricetidae. The record is from RefSeq and is a predicted model, not a curated record.